RNAcentral lists this long non-coding RNA (457 nucleotides) under Oryctolagus cuniculus (rabbit). RNAcentral describes it as "lncRNA (ENSOCUG00000037334.1)". The record is from RNAcentral. Lineage: Eukaryota; Metazoa; Chordata; Mammalia; Lagomorpha; Leporidae.
ACACAUUGCAGGACCUGCCUACCAGCCUGCUCACCUGUGCAGGCCACUUGCCCUCCUUGCCAGCACCAUGCUCAGGACAGGGCUGAUCUUCUUUGCCUUGUGUGACCUGGUUGGGACUUUUCCAGUUUUACCUCCAGAAUUAACCGCUGACAUACCAGAAUGGAUCUCUGAUCUAGAGCUGACCACUGGCGCAGACUUAACCACAGACCUAGCGGCAGUCACAGAUGGAGUCUCCACCACGGAGCUGGACCCGACUGGGGACACAGAGUCCACCACAGCUGAGUAUCCGGAGAGCACACAGUCUGUCGAAUCUGCUACUUUCGAGGAGUCAGCCACCUCCAGCCUUGUGGGAGAAGCUACUGAGACCACAGGUAGAAGUUCUGUCUUCAGACAGCAGCGUGUUCUCCUCCUCCUUGCUAUGUCUCACAGCUCAGGAUGCUCUGUGGUUUGGGGAUAG